UACGUAGGCAGCGAGCGUUGUUCGGAGUUACUGGGCGUAAAGGGUGCGUAGGCGGUUGUUUAAGUUCGGUGUGAAAUCUCCCGGCUCAACUGGGAGGGUGCGCCGAAUACUGAAUGACUAGAGUGCGGGGAGAGGAUAGUGGAAUUCCUGGUGUAGCGGUGAAAUGCGUAGAUAUCAGGAGGAACACCGGUGGUGUAGACGGCUAUCUGGACCGUAACUGACGCUGAGGCACGAAAGCGUGGGUAGCAAACAGG
RNAcentral lists this ribosomal RNA (254 nucleotides) under uncultured bacterium. RNAcentral's name for it is "partial 16S ribosomal RNA". It matches the Rfam family "Bacterial small subunit ribosomal RNA", at positions 524 to 776 of the family's 1533-position model. The record is from RNAcentral.